Molecule: long non-coding RNA, 178 nt
Organism: Mobula hypostoma (lesser devil ray)
Lineage: Eukaryota; Metazoa; Chordata; Chondrichthyes; Myliobatiformes; Myliobatidae
Exons: 4
Source: RefSeq, a predicted model, not a curated record
UCCUCCAGGAUCUAAAGGAGAGUCUGGUUUACCUGGUAUUGAUGGACGGGAUGGUAUUCCUGGAAUGCCUGGAUCAAAGGGUGUAGCUGGCAAGCCGGGUGUUCAAGGUGAAGCAGGACCUCGAGGUCUGCCUGGUUUGCCCGGAUCCCCAGGACUUCCAGGUGUAAUUGGAGCAAAG